RNAcentral lists this ribosomal RNA (449 nucleotides) under uncultured bacterium. RNAcentral describes it as "bacterial SSU rRNA". It matches the Rfam family "Bacterial small subunit ribosomal RNA", at positions 355 to 796 of the family's 1533-position model. The record is from RNAcentral.
UGGGGAAUUUUGGACAAUGGGCGAAAGCCUGAUCCAGCAAUGCCGCGUGUGUGAAGAAGGCCUUCGGGUUGUAAAGCACUUUUGUCCGGAAAGAAAACGUUCCCACUAAUACUGGGGGCGGAUGACGGUACCGGAAGAAUAAGCACCGGCUAACUACGUGCCAGCAGCCGCGGUAAUACGUAGGGUGCAAGCGUUAAUCGGAAUUACUGGGCGUAAAGCGUGCGCAGGCGGUUUGUUAAGACGGAUGUGAAAUCCCCGGGCUCAACCUGGGAACUGCAUUCGUGACUGGCAGGCUAGAGUAUGGCAGAGGGGGGUGGAAUUCCACGUGUAGCAGUGAAAUGCGUAGAGAUGUGGAGGAACACCGAUGGCGAAGGCAGCCCCCUGGGCCAAUACUGACGCUCAUGCACGAAAGCGUGGGGAGCAAACAGGAUUAGAUACCCCCGUAGUCC